Molecule: ribosomal RNA, 419 nt
Filed under: uncultured prokaryote
Description: bacterial SSU rRNA
Rfam family: Bacterial small subunit ribosomal RNA
Source: RNAcentral
UGCUUAACACAUGUAAGUCGAACGGUAACAGGAAGUACUUGUACUUUGCUGACGAGUGGCGCACGGGUGAGUAAUGUAUAGGUUACGUGCCUCUUAGACUGGGAUAGCCNCUGGAAACGGUGAUUAAUACUAGAUACUCCUACUUGUAGGGAAAGCUUUUGCGCUAAGAGAUCGGCCUAUACUGUAUCAGCUUGUUGGUGAGGUAAUGGCUCACCAAGGCGAUGACACAUAGCGGGUUUGAGAGGAUGAUCCGCCACACUGGUACUGAGACACGGACCAGACUCCUACGGGAGGCAGCAGUGAGGAAUAUUGCACAAUGGGGGGAACCCUGAUGCAGCAACGCCGCGUGGAGGAUGACGCAUUUCGGUGUGUAAACUCCUUUUAUAUGUGAAGAAAAUGACGGUAGCAUAUGAAUAAGC